Molecule: ribosomal RNA, 440 nt
Filed under: uncultured bacterium
Lineage: Bacteria
Description: partial 16S ribosomal RNA
Rfam family: Bacterial small subunit ribosomal RNA
Source: RNAcentral
CCUACGGGUGGCAGCAGUAGGGAAUGUUGCGCAAUGGGCGAAAGCCUGACGCAGCAACGCCGCGUGAUUGAGACGACCUUCGGGGUGUAAAGGUCUGUAAGUGGGGACGAAACUUGACGGUACCCACAGAGGAAGCACCGGCUAACUCCGUGCCAGCAGCCGCGGGAAUACGGGGGGUGCAAGCGUUGUUCGGAAUCAUUGGGCGUAAAGAGUUCGUAGGCGGCACGUAAAGUCUGGUGUUAAAGACAGAGGCUCAACUUCUGUACGGCACUGGAUACUUGCGAGCUAGAAUGCGGUAGAGGUAAAUGGAAUUCCUGGUGUAGCGGUGAAAUGCUUAGAUAUCAGGAGGAACAUCGGUGGCGUAGGCGCUUUACUGGGCCGUAAUUGACGCUGAGGAACGAAAGCCAGGGUAGCAAAUAGGAUGAGAUACCCUUGUAGUC